AAUCAACGCUGGCGGCGUGCCUCAGACAUGCAAGUCGAACGCGAAAUCCCGAGCAAUCGGGAAAGUAGAGUGGCGCACGGGUGAGUAACACGUAGGUAAUCUACCUUCGGGUGGGGAAUAACAACCGGAAACGGUUGCUAAUACCGCAUAAUGCAGCGGCACCUAAUGGUGACAGUUGUUAAAGCGGGGGAUCGCAAGACCUCGCGCCUGAAGAGGAGCCUGCGGCGGAUUAGCUAGUUGGCAGGGUAACGGCCUACCAAGGCGACGAUCCGUAGCCGGCCUGAGAGGGCGGUCGGCCACACUGACACUGACAUACGGGUCAGACUCCUACGGGAGGCAGCAGUCGGGAAUUUUGGGCAAUGGGCGAAAGCCUGACCCAGCAACGCCGCGUGAAGGAUGAAAUCCCUCGGGAUGUAAACUUCGCAAGAACGGUGAGAAUAAGCCGGUGUAAACACCACCGGCGAUGACGGUACCGUUUGUAAGCUCCGGCUAACUCCGUGCCAGCAGCCGCGGU
Molecule: ribosomal RNA, 514 nt
Filed under: uncultured bacterium
Lineage: Bacteria
Description: bacterial SSU rRNA
Rfam family: Bacterial small subunit ribosomal RNA
Source: RNAcentral